GACGAACGCUGGCGGCGUGCUUAACACAUGCAAGUCGAACGGAAAGGCCCUGCUUUUGUGGGGUGCUCGAGUGGCGAACGGGUGAGUAACACGUGAGUAACCUGCCCUUGACUUUGGGAUAACUUCAGGAAACUGGGGCUAAUACCGGAUAGGAGCUCCUGCUGCAUGGUGGGGGUUGGAAAGUUUCGGCGGUUGGGGAUGGACUCGCGGCUUAUCAGCUUGUUGGUGGGGUAGUGGCUUACCAAGGCUUUGACGGGUAGCCGGCCUGAGAGGGCGACCGGCCACACUGGGACUGAGACACGGCCCAGACUCCUACGGGAGGCAGCAGUGGGGAAUAUUGCACAAUGGGCGGAAGCCUGAUGCAGCAACGCCGCGUGCGGGAUGACGGCCUUCGGGUUGUAAACCGCUUUCGCCUGUGACGAAGCGUGAGUGACGGUAAUGGGUAAAGAAGCACCGGCGAACUACGG
RNAcentral lists this ribosomal RNA (467 nucleotides) under uncultured bacterium. Its description in RNAcentral is "partial 16S ribosomal RNA". It matches the Rfam family "Bacterial small subunit ribosomal RNA", at positions 28 to 506 of the family's 1533-position model. The record is from RNAcentral.